AUGUCUAGAGAGGUUUGUGGCCUGCCRGGGGCUCGUGUGAGAGAUGUCAUGGAAAGACUGCCAAGGCUCGUCCAUGCUUCGGACUAUUACCCACUGCUGCUCUUCCAUGUGGGCGCCAAUGACACCAAGGGCAAACUGGAGACCAUCAAGCAGGAUUUCAGAGCUCUGGGGAUGGUGGUCAAGGGUCUGGGAGCCCAGGUCAUCUUCUCCUCGAUCCUGCCAGUGAGGGGGAUGGAUGAGAGGAGGAGGAGACGGACUUUCCAAGUUAACGACUGGCUGCACCACCGGUGUUGGCAACAGGGUUUUGGUUUCUACGACCAUGGGACCCUGUUUGAAGAUCGACAAAUGCUGGGGAGAGAUGGGAUCCACCUCACGAGGUGGGGGCAUGUGUGUCUUUGCCAACAGGCUGRCCAACCUGGUAAGGAGGGCUUUAAACUAGGAAAGAUGGGGGAAGGGGAGAGUUACAGUGCCAGGGUAGUUGGCAAAAGACAGCUCAAGUCGGGACGCCUCCAGCAGGUGAAUGCAGCCAGGGAAGUGCGCAUGGGAUGUGGCUAUGGAGGACCCUCUUUUACCCCUCCUGGGAAACCUGCAUGCUCGAUCACCUCUCUGAAAUGCCUGUACACCAAUGCAUGCAGCAUAGGUAACAAACAGGAAGAACUAGAGAUCUGUGUGCGGUCACAGGGCCAUGAUCUCAUUGCCAUUACAGAGACAUGGUGGGAUAGCUCGCAUGACUGGAGUGCUGUCAUGGAUGGCUACGUGCUUUUUAGGAAAGACAGGCCAGGAAAGCGAGGUGGUGCAGUUGCUCUUUAUGUGAGAGAGCACCUGGAAUGUAUUGAGCUGUGCCUAGGGGUGGAUGAAGAGCGAGUCGAGAGCUUAUGGGUAAGGAUUAAAGGGCAGGCUAGCAUGGGUGACACUGUGGUGGGUGUUUACUACAGGCCACCUGAUCAGGAAGAGGAAGUCGAUGAGGCCUUCUACAGGCAGCUGGAAGUAGCCUCACGAUCCCAGGCCCUGGUUCUCAUGGGGGACUUCAAGCACCCUGAUAUCUGCUGGAAAGACAACCCAGCUAGGCACAAACAGUCCUGGAGGUUCCUGCAGAGCAUUGGUGACAACUUCUUGACACAGGUGGUGGAGGAGCCAAUGAGGAGAGGUGUGCUGCUGGACCUUGUACUAACAAACAAAGAAGGACUGGUGGAAGAUGUGAAGUUUGGGGGCGGCCUUGGCUGCAGUGACCAUGAGAUGGUGGAGUUCAGGAUCCUGCGAGGAGGCAGCAGGGCACUAAGUAGGAUUGCAACCCUGGACUUGAGGAGAGCAAACUUUGGCCUCUUCAGGGACCUACCUGGAGGAAUCCCAUGGGUUAGGGCCCUAGAAGGAAGGGGCGUUCAAGAGAGCUGGUUAAUAUUCAAACAUCACCUCCUCCAGGCUCAAGAGCGGUGCGUCCCUAUGAGUAGGAAGUCAAGCAAAGGAGGUAGGAGACCUGCAUGGAUGAGCAAGGAGCUCCUGGCAAAACUCAACCAGAAGAAGGAAGUCUACAGAAAGUGGAAAGGGGGACAGGCCACUUGGGAGGAAUAUGGGAACGUUGUGAGAGUAUGCAGGGAUGCGACAAGGAAGGCUAAGGCCCGUUUGGAAUUAAAUCUGGCAAGAGAUGUCAAGGACAACAAGAAGGGCUUCUUCAAAUACAUCAGUAGCAAGAGGAAGACUAGGGAAAAUGUGGGCCCUUCGCUGAAUGGGGUGGAUGCCCUGGUGACGAAGGAUACAGAGAAGGCAGAGUUACUGAAUGCCGCCUUUGCUUCAGUCUUUACUACUCAGGCCAGCCCUCAGGAUUCCCAGACCCUGGAGGCAAGAGAGAAAGUCUGGAGAAAGGAAGACUUUCCCUUGGUCGAGGAGGACUGGGUUAGAGAUCAUUUAGGCAGACCUGACACCCACAGAUCCAUGGGCCCUGAUGGGAUGCACCCAUGA
RNAcentral lists this long non-coding RNA (1956 nucleotides) under Apteryx haastii (Great spotted kiwi). Its description in RNAcentral is "lncRNA (ENSAHAG00000006947.1)". Lineage: Eukaryota; Metazoa; Chordata; Aves; Apterygiformes; Apterygidae. The record is from RNAcentral.